GGGAGUGUGCCCGAGUGGUUAAAGGGGACGGGCUGUAAACCCGUUGGCUUUGCCUACCAAGGUUCGAAUCCUUGCGCUCCCACCA
Molecule: transfer RNA, 85 nt
Filed under: Eggerthellaceae bacterium
Lineage: Bacteria; Bacillati; Actinomycetota; Coriobacteriia; Eggerthellales; Eggerthellaceae
Also listed under: 1 other name
Description: tRNA-Tyr
Rfam family: tRNA
About the family: Transfer RNA (tRNA) molecules are approximately 80 nucleotides in length.
Source: RNAcentral